Molecule: ribosomal RNA, 325 nt
Filed under: uncultured eukaryote
Lineage: Eukaryota
Description: partial 18S ribosomal RNA
Rfam family: Eukaryotic small subunit ribosomal RNA
Source: RNAcentral
CCCUUAGAUGUUCUGGGCCGCACGCGCGCUACACUGACGAAGUCAGCGAGCAUGUCCUACGCCGGCAGGUGCGGGGAAUCUUGUGAAACUUUGUCGUGCUGGGGAUUGAUUUUUGAAAUUCUUGAUCAUGAACGAGGAAUUCCUAGUAAGCGCAAGUCAGCAGCUUGCGUUGAUUACGUCCCUGCCCUUUGUACACACCGCCCGUCGCUACUACCGAUUGAAUGUGCCAGUGAAAAGUUAGGAUUGGGCGUGGGAGACGGCAACGUAUUCCACAUCCGAGAAAAUCUUUAAACUUUCCCAUUUAGAGGAAGGAGAAGUCGUAACA